GAUGAACGCUGGCGGCGUGCCUAAUACAUGCAAGUCGAGCGAACAGACGAGGAGCUUGCUCCUCUGACGUUAGCGGCGGACGUGUGAGUAACACGUGGAUAACCUACCUAUAAGACUGGGAUAACUUCGGGAAACCGGAGCUAAUACCGGAUAAUAUAUUGAACCGCAUGGUUCAAUAGUUAAAUACGGUUUUGCUGUCACUUAUAGAUGGAUCCUCGCCGCAUUAGCUAGUUGGUAAGGUAACGGCUUACCAAGGCAACGAUGCGUAGCCGACAUGAGAGAGAGAUAGGACAAACUGGAAGAGAGACACGGAAAAGACACCUACGGGAGGAAGCAGAAGGGAAUCUUCAGCAAUGGGCGAAAGCUUGAAAGAGCAACGCCGCGUGAGUGAUGAAGGUCUGCGGAUAGUAAAACUCUGUUAUUAGGGAAGAAAAAAUGUGUAAGAAAAUAUGCACGUCUUGACGGUACCUAAUCAGAAAGCCACGGCUAACUACGUG
Molecule: ribosomal RNA, 497 nt
Filed under: uncultured bacterium
Lineage: Bacteria
Description: partial 16S ribosomal RNA
Rfam family: Bacterial small subunit ribosomal RNA
Source: RNAcentral